UUCCGUCGAGUUUGACUUUUGCACUGGUUAAUUCAGGUUUUAAAGGUUCAAUUUAUUUGAUCAACUAAGUUUUUCCAUCAGUUCUACUUCUACUCUUGUGGUUUUGGAGUAAUGAGGCUUUGCAGACGAUCACACUUUUGUGCUUAGAAUAUGACUCCUCGCUGUCACAGGUAACCAACCUCAUCAAAUGGCAUAUCCUAAAAAGCUGUGUUCUCUAAAAUCUUAUUUCACUUGUUUUUCUAUUUCAGAUUAAUCAAAAGGCAUCAUUAUUAAGAAAUCUUGGAGGAAACUGGAGAUUUGUGUAAUUUAUAAAACUAGAAUUUUUAUGUUUUUCUUCCAUUAAUCACCUUAAAAACACCUGAUUGAUGGUCUCAUGAUCAGCCGAGUCACCAGAGCAGGGGCUUCUCUCCCUCUGUUCUACAUUUUCAUCAUACUUGAUUACUUGAUUACCACAACCAGCAAUCCCCCAACACCUCAGUACUACCAGCCUGUAUCUUUUGUCACGCUUUUUACAAAUUUAUAUGAAAACUUUUAGCUUUUGUUUCUUCAGUGUUCUACUUUAAUUCUCAUUUAAUGCUUUCUCUGAGUUUAAUUCAAUUUAUACCAUAUGUUGAAUGUGUAUGCAGGCCAUACAAGUCUUUUGACCUCAACCUAGAACACAAUCUUAUUUCAAUGCAGGUCAACAGGCUUAGUGGGGAUAUAAAACACAUCAAGCAGGAGAAGCAGCAGGAAAAAAGAAAAAAAUACAACAAAAAAAUCCUGCAUAUGGAAAAUGUGGCGACAUCUAAGACCACAUCUGAAACAAGAAGUUAAAGCAGGUAAAAAAAAGGGUGAUAAGAAAUAACCAUUUCAGCAUGAAAUCAGGAAGUCAAAGCACAGCAUAUAAACCAAUCACAUCAAAAUGGCAAAAUGACAAACGCACUAUAGUGAGUUGGGAAGGAAUUCGGACACUAAAUCCCAUUUCAGCAUUUUAGUUGUUCAAAUGUAUUAUUGCAAUUCAACUGAACAAGGUCAUGUUGUUCAUAUAAAAUAAAACAUUAAGUCAAACACAUCUCAACUAAACAAAAAUUCUCAAAAUGAAAUGUAGUGUUCAGUUAACAAUUUGAGUUCAAUCGUCUUUUGGCCCUUCCGACAUGUAACCACUAGGUGGCGGUAAGAGUGCAAAUGUUCCCUUUUUUCUUAGAAGAAGUAGAAGAUGAAGCUACAGUUGGCUGAACUUCGCGGCUUUUUCAUAUGUUGUUCAUAUGUUCAUAUGUUCCAUAUGUUGAUGGGUCGUCAUUUUGCUGAGGAGGUGGCAUUUUUUUUUUUUUUUUUAGACAAAAUAAAGGAUAUUUUGGACAAACACAAGACAAAACACCACAUCUUGUCAGGCGGCUCCUUCCUCCACGACAACGGGCUUGUAUCUGCGGCAGGUAAUUGCAGUAAAAAAAACCUUUUUGUUAAAUGUGAAAUACUGACAUGAUUGUUUUUAUCUGUAUUUAUUCCAAGAUUCGCCUGCAGCGUGUCGCGGAGGAGAAAUACAUUCAUUCAUAUGGAUUGAAGCAGAAUCUGACAUCUGUUAAUCUCGACUACUUUCUUCAAUAGACUGGAUCAGUUCCUACCAGGGCUACUAGACCUGUACAAGACCACGGCUGGGACGCUAGUUGGACUGAGCAAUCUGUUUUGAACAACCCUCUACUCAAAUAAAGAUGGAAAUUGUUCUGCUGGGCCUUCCCCACUUUCUCAAGGAGGACCCAAAACUGCUGAGUCCCCUGAUGAGGAGGCUUCAAUCAAUGGGAGGGCUGAAACUUGGCGUUGUACUAAUUGAAGAUGGAGAAGACAUGGUGGAACAUCAGUUGUUCUUGAAAAACAAAUCAUUUUGAACAAUAUGAAGGACUUUCCUCAUGCCAUUGCUCUGCUGAUGGGUCUGCUGUCUGCGCCCAACAUGGACUAUACCAAAGGCCUGCAGUACACUGAAGUCAUUAAAAGAUCUUCACGGACAUUGGUGAGGGACAGUGCUCCUUGUUAGUUCAUGGUCUGAGAAAUACAAUAUAGAUUUUGCUUUUGGUUUGAUUAAUGAUGGUUUUGUCUACAGAACGUUAUGAAAGUAACCUGUAAAGGAAGGAGUCCUUGCCCAACGUAUGAUUUUUUUCUCCUGAGCAUAAUGGGAGUAAGAAAUGUCCAUCCUGAAAUUAUUUUUUGUUUGGAAAAUAAAGAAAUUAUGG
Oryzias melastigma (Indian medaka) is the source of this 2204-nucleotide long non-coding RNA. RefSeq lists it as uncharacterized. The record is from RefSeq and is a predicted model, not a curated record. Lineage: Eukaryota; Metazoa; Chordata; Actinopteri; Beloniformes; Adrianichthyidae. The transcript has 5 exons.